RNAcentral lists this ribosomal RNA (253 nucleotides) under uncultured bacterium. Its description in RNAcentral is "partial 16S ribosomal RNA". It matches the Rfam family "Bacterial small subunit ribosomal RNA", at positions 524 to 776 of the family's 1533-position model. The record is from RNAcentral.
UACGUAGGGUGCGAGCGUUGUCCGGAUUUAUUGGGCGUAAAGAGCGUGUAGGCGGUCUGGUAGGUCCGUUGUGAAAACUCGAGGCUCAACCUCGAGACGCCGAUGGAAACCAUCAGACUAGAGUCCGGAAGAGGAGAGUGGAAUUCCUGGUGUAGCGGUGAAAUGCGCAGAUAUCAGGAAGAACACCCGUGGCGAAGGCGGCUCUCUAGUACGGUACUGACGCUGAGACGCGAAAGCGUGGGGAGCGAACAGG